CCUACGGGUGGCAGCAGUAGGGAAUAUUGCUCAAUGGGCGAAACCCUGAUGCAGCAACGCCGCGUGGAGGAUGAAGGUUUUCGGAUUGUAAACUCCUUUUGUUAGAGAAGAUAAUGACGGUAUCUAACGAAUAAGCACCGGCUAACUGCGUGCCAGCAGCCGCGGUAAUACGGAGGGUGGGAGCGUUACCCGGAAUUACUGGGCGUAAAUGGCGCGUAGGCGGGAUAGCAAGUCAGAUGUGAAAUCCUAUGGCUUAACCAUUGAACUGCAUUCGAAACUGUGAUUCUUGAGGAUAGGAGAGGUAGGUGGAAUUCUUGGGGUAGUGGUAAAAUGCGUAGAGAUCAAGAGGAAUACUCGUUGCGAAGGCGACCUGCUAGAACGUAACUGACGCUGAUGCGCGAAAGCGUGGGGAGCAAACAGGAUUAGAUACCCCUGUAGUC
Molecule: ribosomal RNA, 440 nt
Filed under: uncultured bacterium
Lineage: Bacteria
Description: partial 16S ribosomal RNA
Rfam family: Bacterial small subunit ribosomal RNA
Source: RNAcentral